GACGAACGCUGGCGGCGUGGAUUAGGCAUGCAAGUCGAACGGUAUCAUCCUUUCGGGGGUGAGAGAGUGGCGAACUGGUGAGUAACACGUAGGUUAUCUACCCUCAAGACGGGGACAACCCAGGGAAACUUGGGCUAAUACCGGAUGUGAGCAACUUUUAGUUGUUUGAAAGGUGGCGUAAGCUGCCGCUUGGGGAUGAGCCUGCGUCCUAUUAGUUAGUUGGUGAGGUAACGGCUCACCUAGGCAAUGAUAGGUAGGCGGCCUUAACGGGUGGUCGCCCACACUGGGAUUGAGAUACGGCCCAGACUCCUACGGGAGGCAGCAGUCGAGAAUAGUCUACAAUGGUCGGAAGACUGAUAGUGCGACGCCGCGUGAACGAUGAAUCCCUUCGGGGUGUAAAGUUCUUUUAUAUGUGAGCAGUGCUUCUUAUAUUAACAGUAUGGGGAGAGAGAUAUUAGCAUAUGAAUAAGCAACGGCUAACUCCGUGCCAGCAGCCGCGGUAAACUCGU
RNAcentral lists this ribosomal RNA (509 nucleotides) under uncultured bacterium. RNAcentral describes it as "bacterial SSU rRNA". It matches the Rfam family "Bacterial small subunit ribosomal RNA", at positions 28 to 528 of the family's 1533-position model. The record is from RNAcentral.